GACGAACGCUGGCGGCGUGCUUAACACAUGCAAGUCGAACGGAAAGGCCCUGCUUGCAGGGUACUCGAGUGGCGAACGGGUGAGUAACACGUGGGUGAUCUGCCCUGCACUUCGGGAUAAGCCUGGGAAACUGGGUCUAAUACCGGAUAGGAGCCAUUUUUAGUGUGAUGGUUGGAAAGUUUUUUCGGUGUAGGAUGAGCUCGCGGCCUAUCAGCUUGUUGGUGGGGUAAUGGCCUACCAAGGCGGCGACGGGUAGCCGGCCUGAGAGGGUGGACGGCCACAUUGGGACUGAGAUACGGCCCAGACUCCUACGGGAGGAAGCAGGGGGGAAUAUUGCACAAUGGGCGCAAGCCUGAUGCAGCGACGCCGCGUAGGGGAUGACGGCCUUCGGGUUGUAAACUCCUUUCGCUAGGGACGAAGCUUUUUGUGACGGUACCUAGAUAAGAAGCACCGGCUAACUACGUG
Molecule: ribosomal RNA, 465 nt
Filed under: uncultured bacterium
Lineage: Bacteria
Description: partial 16S ribosomal RNA
Rfam family: Bacterial small subunit ribosomal RNA
Source: RNAcentral